GAUGAACGCUAGCGGCAGGCCUAAUACAUGCAAGUCGAACGGGAUCUGAGGGUAGCUUGCUACCCGAUUUGAGAGUGGCGCACGGGUGCGUAACGCGUGAGCAACCUACCCAUAUCAGGGGGAUAGCCCGAAGAAAUUCGGAUUAACACCGCAUAACAAUACGCUAACACAUGUUGAUGUAUUUAAAUAUUUAUAGGAUAUGGAUGGGCUCGCGUGACAUUAGCUAGUUGGUAAGGUAACGGCUUACCAAGGCGACGAUGUCUAGGGGCUCUGAGAGGAGAAUCCCCCACACUGGUACUAAGACACGGACCAGACUCCUACGGGAGGCAGCAGUAAGGAAUAUUGGUCAAUGGGCGCAAGCCUGAACCAGCCAUGCCGCGUGCAGGAUGACUGCCCUAUGGGUUGUAAACUGCUUUUGUUAGGGAAUAAACCUACUUAUGUAUAAGUAGCUGAAUGUACCUAAAGAAUAAGGAUCGGCUAACUCCGUGCCAGCAGCCGCGGUAA
RNAcentral lists this ribosomal RNA (504 nucleotides) under uncultured bacterium. RNAcentral's name for it is "partial 16S ribosomal RNA". It matches the Rfam family "Bacterial small subunit ribosomal RNA", at positions 28 to 523 of the family's 1533-position model. The record is from RNAcentral.